AUACGGAGGGUGCAAGCGUUACUCGGAAUCACUGGGCGUAAAGCGCGCGCAGGCGGCUUGAUAAGUUGGAUGUGAAGGCCUACGGCUCAACCGUAGAACUGCAUCCAAAACUGUCAAGCUCGAGUCUGGGAGGGGAAGAUGGAAUUAGUUGUGUAGGGGUAAAAUCCGUAGAGAUAACUAGGAAUACCAAAAGCGAAGGCGAUCUUCUGGAACAGUACUGACGCUGAGGCGCGAAAGCGUGGGGAGCAAACAGGAUUAGAAACCCUAGUAGUCC
RNAcentral lists this ribosomal RNA (274 nucleotides) under uncultured bacterium. RNAcentral's name for it is "partial 16S ribosomal RNA". It matches the Rfam family "Bacterial small subunit ribosomal RNA", at positions 523 to 796 of the family's 1533-position model. The record is from RNAcentral.